This 519-nucleotide ribosomal RNA is filed under the name uncultured bacterium. RNAcentral's name for it is "bacterial SSU rRNA". It matches the Rfam family "Bacterial small subunit ribosomal RNA", at positions 8 to 518 of the family's 1533-position model. The record is from RNAcentral.
AGAGUUUGAUCCUGGCUCAGGAUGAACGCUAGCGACAGGCUUAACACAUGCAAGUCGAGGGGCAGCAUAAAAGUAGCAAUACUUGGUGGCGACCGGCGCACGGGUGAGUAACGCGUAUGCAACCUACCUAUCAGAGGGGAAUAACCCGGCGAAAGUCGGACUAAUACCGCAUAAAACAGGGGCACCGCAUGGUGAUAUUUGUUAAAGAGAUUCGCUGAUAGAUGGGCAUGCGUUCCAUUAGGUAGUUGGUGAGGUAACGGCUCGCCAAGCCGACGAUGGAUAGGGGAACUGAGAGGUUGGUCCCCCACACUGGUACUGAGACACGGACCAGACUCCUACGGGAGGCAGCAGUGAGGAAUAUUGGUCAAUGGGCGGGAGCCUGAACCAGCCAAGUUCCGCGUGAAGGAAGAAGGAUCUAUGGUUCGUAAACUUCUUUUGCAGGGGAAUAAAGUGCAGGACGUGUCCUGUUUUGUAUGUACCCUGAGAAUAAGGAUCGGCUAACUCCGUGCCAGCCGCCGC